RNAcentral lists this ribosomal RNA (284 nucleotides) under Segatella copri DSM 18205. RNAcentral describes it as "Prevotella copri DSM 18205 partial 16S ribosomal RNA". It matches the Rfam family "Bacterial small subunit ribosomal RNA", at positions 493 to 776 of the family's 1533-position model. Lineage: Bacteria; Pseudomonadati; Bacteroidota; Bacteroidia; Bacteroidales; Prevotellaceae. The record is from RNAcentral.
UCUUUUCCUUGUGUGCCAGCAGCCGCGGUAAUACGGAAGGUCCGGGCGUUAUCCGGAUUUAUUGGGUUUAAAGGGAGCGUAGGCCGGAGAUUAAGCGUGUUGUGAAAUGUAGACGCUCAACGUCUGCACUGCAGCGCGAACUGGUUUCCUUGAGUACGCACAAAGUGGGCGGAAUUCGUGGUGUAGCGGUGAAAUGCUUAGAUAUCACGAAGAACUCCGAUUGCGAAGGCAGCUCACUGGAGCGCAACUGACGCUGAAGCUCGAAAGUGCGGGUAUCGAACAGG